This 449-nucleotide ribosomal RNA is filed under the name uncultured bacterium. RNAcentral describes it as "partial 16S ribosomal RNA". It matches the Rfam family "Bacterial small subunit ribosomal RNA", at positions 354 to 796 of the family's 1533-position model. The record is from RNAcentral.
GUGGGGAAUCUUCCGCAAUGGACGAAAGUCUGACGGAGCGACGCCGCGUGAGUGAUGAAGGCCUUCGGGUCGUAAAGCUCUGUCAUCGGGGACGAACGGCCUCAGCAGGUAAUGGCUGGGGAUUGACGGUACCCGAGAAGGAAGCCACGGCUAACUACGUGCCAGCAGCCGCGGUAAUACGUAGGUGGCAAGCGUUGUCCGGAAUUAUUGGGCGUAAAGCGCGCGCAGGUGGGAUCUUAAGUCUAUUUUGAAAGUUCGGAGCUUAACUCCGUGAUGGGAUAGAAACUGGGAUUCUUGAGUACCGGAGAGGAAAGCGGAAUUCCCCGUGUAGCGGUGAAAUGCGUAGAUAUGGGGAGGAACACCAGUGGCGAAGGCGGCUUUCUGGACGGUGUCUGACGCUGAGGCGCGAAAGCCAGGGGAGCGAACGGGAUUAGAAACCCUAGUAGUCC